CACGUAGGCGGAUAUUUAAGUCAGGGGUGAAAUCCCAGAGCUCAACUCUGGAACUGCCUUUGAUACUGGGUAUCUCGAGUAUGGAAGAGGUAAGUGGAAUUCCGAGUGUAGAGGUGAAAUUCGUAGAUAUUCGGAGGAACACCAGUGGCGAAGGCGGCUUACUGGUCCAUUACUGACGCUGAGGUGCGAAAGCGUGGGAGCAAACA
Molecule: ribosomal RNA, 206 nt
Filed under: uncultured bacterium
Lineage: Bacteria
Description: partial 16S ribosomal RNA
Rfam family: Bacterial small subunit ribosomal RNA
Source: RNAcentral